RNAcentral lists this ribosomal RNA (505 nucleotides) under uncultured bacterium. RNAcentral's name for it is "bacterial SSU rRNA". It matches the Rfam family "Bacterial small subunit ribosomal RNA", at positions 107 to 607 of the family's 1533-position model. The record is from RNAcentral.
UGAGGAAUACAUCGGAAUCUACUUUUUCGUGGGGGAUAACGUAGGGAAACUUACGCUAAUACCGCAUACGACCUACGGGUGAAAGCAGGGGAUCUUCGGACCUUGCGCGAUUGAAUGAGCCGAUGUCGGAUUAGCUAGUUGGCGGGGUAAAGGCCCACCAAGGCGACGAUCCGUAGCUGGUCUGAGAGGAUGAUCAGCCACACUGGAACUGAGACACGGUCCAGACUCCUACGGGAGGCAGCAGUGGGGAAUAUUGGACAAUGGGCGCAAGCCUGAUCCAGCCAUACCGCGUGGGUGAAGAAGGCCUUCGGGUUUGUAAAGCCCUUUUGUUGGGAAAGAAAUCCAGCCGGCUAAUACCUGGUUGGGAUGACAGUACCCAAAGAAUAAGCACCGGCUAACUUCGUGCCAGCAGCCGCGGUAAUACGAAGGGUGCAAGCGUUACUCGGAAUUACUGGGCGUAAAGCGUGCGUAGGUGGUUGUUUAAGUCUGUUGUGAAAGCCCUGGG